CACGUAGGGGACGAGCGUUGUCCGGAUUCAUUGGGCGUAAAGCGCGCGUAGGCGGCUCGGAAAGUCGGUCGUGAAAUGCCGGGGCUCAACCCCGGGACUGCGUCCGAUACUCCCGGGCUGGAGGCAGGUAGGGGAGAUCGGAAUUCCUGGUGUAGCGGUGAAAUGCGCAGAUAUCAGGAGGAACACCGGUGGCGAAGGCGGAUCUCUGGGCCUUGCCUGACGCUGAGGCGCGAAAGCUAGGGGAGCGAACAGG
RNAcentral lists this ribosomal RNA (253 nucleotides) under uncultured bacterium. RNAcentral describes it as "partial 16S ribosomal RNA". It matches the Rfam family "Bacterial small subunit ribosomal RNA", at positions 524 to 776 of the family's 1533-position model. The record is from RNAcentral.